GGGCGGGCGGGAGGUGGCAGGAAGAAACAGGCCCCGUGGAGGUCUGGGACCUGACUGAGGUCGGGCUUUGCUCCGUCAGCUGUUUCAGCUGCCACCUCAGUGAGGGAUUUAUAAAUAUUUGUUGCUCUUCCCCAGACCCCAGGCACACCGUGUGCUCGCUCCCUGGGAAGCAAGAUUGUUUGGCCAUUUCACAGAGAGGGAGCCUGAGGCCCUGGGGACCGGAGACUCAGUCAUGAGGGAAGGCCUGAGGAGGAGCAGGACUACAGUGAAGACCUCUGGCUUUUUCCAUUCUCCAGAUGAAGCCUCUGCGGUCAAAACCAAGUGAGCCUCCAGUAUCUUCUGCUGACAAAACACAUCAUCAAGCCAGCUGGCACAGGAGAAAUAUCAUCUUCAGAGUCCAGUUCCAGAAUCACCAAGCAGAGCAAAGCAAUCACGAAGGUAGUAAAUGUACAACUGGAACGAAAGUGAACAGUUUGACAAAUUGGAUUCCUAAAGCUGAUUCUUUGAAGAAAAGGAUGCAGUGUGACAAGACAAGAAACAGCUCAUCCUCAAAUCGGGAGGAUAAAUAAAAAAAUAGAAGCAACCCCAUUCUCUGGCUUCCCUGCGACUCAAAGGGUGUCUCAGUUGUCACUGAUAAUCUAAUCUUCUGAUGAUAGGUGAGAAACAGGACAAUGGCGACCCAGCCAGGCUGCGGGUGUGAUAGGCCUCUGAUUAAUAGGACUGUCCAAGGAGGCCCCAGCCCCCGGGAAGAUGAUUAAUGACAUUUGAUGUGAACUCUGACCUCCCCCGGCAAGCACAGAGGGAGAAAAGGCGGCUGCUCAGACAGGAUGCGCGUCCUGCAGAAGGUGAUUGAUUCCUGAAGGCUUUGUGACUCUGAGGGUGCGUGGGGGGCCCCUCGUGGCCCCUUCCUGGGCUCUGACAAACACCCUACCCUGGCAGGGGUCUGCAGACUGGAAGGAAAUUUGUGAGGAAAGCACAGCCCUGGAUGAUAACUCUUCUUUGGGGAGGAGCACAUUCAGAGCACGUGCACGUUGGGUUGUCCCAGCUGAGGACUCUCCGAAGGUUCCAGAGGUCUGGGGUCUUCUACGGACAGAGUACUCAUUCCUUCUCCCU
Lontra canadensis (Northern American river otter) is the source of this 1113-nucleotide long non-coding RNA. RefSeq lists it as uncharacterized. NCBI's taxonomy places the organism in Eukaryota, Metazoa, Chordata, Mammalia, Carnivora, Mustelidae. The record is from RefSeq and is a predicted model, not a curated record. The transcript has 4 exons.